RNAcentral lists this transfer RNA (72 nucleotides) under Schistosoma mansoni. Lineage: Eukaryota; Metazoa; Platyhelminthes; Trematoda; Strigeidida; Schistosomatidae. The record is from RNAcentral.
AAUCAGUGGCCGAGUGGAUAACGCGAUAGCGUUUGAACCGAAAAGUACUGGGUUCGAGUCCCAGAUUGAACA